UGGGGAAUAUUGGACAAUGGGCGAAAGCCUGAUCCAGCCAUGCCGCGUGUGUGAAGAAGGUCUUCGGAUUGUAAAGCACUUUACGUUGGGAGGAAGGGCAUUAACCUAAUACGUUAGUGCUUUGACGUUACCGACAGAAUAAGCACCGGCUAACUCUGUGCCAGCAGCCGCGGUAAUACAGAGGGUGCAAGCGUUAAUCGGAAUUACUGGGCGUAAAGCGCGCGUAGGUGGUUUGUUAAGUUGGAUGUGAAAUCCCCGGGCUCAACCUGGGAACUGCAUUCAAAACUGACUGACUAGAGUAUGGUAGAGGGUGGUGGAAUUUCCUGUGUAGCGGUGAAAUGCGUAGAUAUAGGAAGGAACACCAGUGGCGAAGGCGACCACCUGGACUAAUACUGACACUGAGGUGCGAAAGCGUGGGGAGCAAACA
RNAcentral lists this ribosomal RNA (427 nucleotides) under uncultured bacterium. Its description in RNAcentral is "partial 16S ribosomal RNA". It matches the Rfam family "Bacterial small subunit ribosomal RNA", at positions 355 to 774 of the family's 1533-position model. The record is from RNAcentral.